Molecule: transfer RNA, 68 nt
Filed under: Figites sp. ZJUH 20220010
Lineage: Eukaryota; Metazoa; Arthropoda; Insecta; Hymenoptera; Figitidae
Description: tRNA-Asp
Source: RNAcentral
AAGAAAUUAGUUAAAUAAUUAUAACAUUAAUAUGUCAUAUUAAAAUUAUUAAUAAUUAAUAUUUUUUU